AAUAAUGUUGCAGCAGGGGCAGGACUCAGAGAAGAAGUUGGGAGGGCUCAGCCAGUGAGUGAUGGCAGCAGAGAUUAUCAAUGCUGGAUAUCUGGAAAUCUGGCAGAUGAUGCCUUGCUUCUAAAAUCCCUGGAUCCUUUUCCUCUGGGCUGCAGAGAAUGUCUCAAGCUAGAAAAAAAUCCACAAGAGACCCCUUGUGUCACUCAAAAUAACUUGUUCUUUUCGCUUCAAUAAAAGUAACUGGUUGUGGUGGUGUAUUGCA
This is a long non-coding RNA of Mauremys reevesii (Reeves's turtle), 262 nucleotides long. RefSeq lists it as uncharacterized. Lineage: Eukaryota; Metazoa; Chordata; Testudines; Geoemydidae. The record is from RefSeq and is a predicted model, not a curated record. The transcript is spliced from 2 exons.